AGCAGCCGCGGUAAUUCCAGCUCCAAUAGCGUAUAUUAAAGUUGUUGCAGUUAAAAAGCUCGUAGUUGAAUUUCGGGAUCAGUACGUUGGUCGUGCCUUGGUACGUACUGGCGUCACUGGUUCCUACCUUCUGACGAACCGUCAUGUCAUUAAUUUGGUGUGGCGGGGAAUCAGGACUGUUACUUUGAAAAAUUGAGUGUUUAAAGCAGGCUCGCGCUUGAAUACAUUAGCAUGGAAUAAUGAAAUAGGACGUUCGAUCCUAUUUUGUUGGUUUCUAGGAUUGACGUAAUGAUUAAUAGGGAUAGUUGGGGCAUUAGUAUUCAAUUGUCAGAGGUGAAAUUCUU
This 344-nucleotide ribosomal RNA is filed under the name uncultured Glomus. Its description in RNAcentral is "SSU rRNA". It matches the Rfam family "Eukaryotic small subunit ribosomal RNA", at positions 569 to 921 of the family's 1831-position model. The record is from RNAcentral. Lineage: Eukaryota; Fungi; Glomeromycota; Glomeromycetes; Glomerales; Glomeraceae.